This 446-nucleotide ribosomal RNA is filed under the name uncultured bacterium. RNAcentral's name for it is "bacterial SSU rRNA". It matches the Rfam family "Bacterial small subunit ribosomal RNA", at positions 329 to 792 of the family's 1533-position model. The record is from RNAcentral.
UACCAGACUCCUACGGGAGGCAGCAGUGGGGAAUAUUGCACAAUGGGGGAAACCCUGAUGCAGCGACGCCGCGUGAGUGAAGAAGUAUCUCGGUACGUAAAGCUCUAUCAGCAGGGAAGAAAAUGACGGUACCUGACCAAGAAGCCCCGGCUAACUACGUGCCAGCAGCCGCGGUAAUACGUAGGGGGCAAGCGUUAUCCGGAUUUACUGGGUGUAAAGGGAGCGUAGACGGCAGCGCAAGUCUGGAGUGAAAUGCCGGGGCCCAACCCCGGAACUGCUUUGGAAACUGUGCAGCUCGAGUGCAGGAGAGGUAAGCGGAAUUCCUAGUGUAGCGGUGAAAUGCGUAGAUAUUAGGAGGAACACCAGUGGCGAAGGCGGCCUGCUGGACGACAACUGACGGUGCGGCGCGAAAGCGUGGGGAGCAACCAGGAUUAGAUACCCCAGUA